This 432-nucleotide ribosomal RNA is filed under the name uncultured bacterium. RNAcentral describes it as "partial 16S ribosomal RNA". It matches the Rfam family "Bacterial small subunit ribosomal RNA", at positions 29 to 506 of the family's 1533-position model. The record is from RNAcentral.
AACGAACGCUGGCGGCAUGCCUAACACAUGCAAGUCGAACGAGACCUUCGGGUCUAGUGGCGCACGGGUGCGUAACGCGUGGGAACCUGCCCUUAGGUUCGGAAUAACUCCCCGAAAGGGGUGCUAAUACCGGAUAAUGUCUUCGGACCAAAGAUUUAUCGCCUUUGGAUGGGCCCGCGUUGGAUUAGCUAGUUGGUAGGGUAAAAGCCUACCAAGGCGACGAUCCAUAGCUGGUGUGAGAGGAUGAUCAGCCACACUGGGACAGAGACACGGCCCAGACUCCCCCGGGGGGCGGAAGGGGGGGAAAUAUGAGAAAGGGCGGAAACCCGAGACCCGGAAGCCGCGGGAGUGAUAAAAGGCUUAGGGGUGUAUAAAGCUUUUUCACCGGAGGAGAAAGACAGAACCGGGAGAAAAAACCCCGGCUAACACCCU